GGCCUAACACAUGCAAGUCGGACGGUAGCACAGAGGAGCUUGCUCUUGGGUGACGAGUGGCGGACGGGUGAGUAAUGUCUGGGAAACUGCCCGAUAGAGGGGGAUAACUACUGGAAACGGUAGCUAAUACCGCAUAACCUCGCAAGAGCAAAGUGGGGGACCUUCGGGCCUCACGCUAUCGGAUGUGCCCAGAUGGGAUUAGCUAGUAGGUGGGGUAAUGGCUCACCUAGGCGACGAUCCCUAGCUGGUCUGAGAGGAUGACCAGCCACACUGGAACUGAGACACGGUCCAGACUCCUACGGGAGGCAGCAGUGGGGAAUAUUGCACAAUGGGCGCAAGCCUGAUGCAGCCAUGCCGCGUGUAUGAAGAAGGCCUUCGGGUUGUAAAGUACUUUCAGCGGGGAGGAAGGCGGUGAGGUUAAUAACCUUACCGAUUGACGUUACCCGCAGAAGAAGCACCGGCUAACUCCGUGCCAGCAGCCGCGGUAAUACGGAGGGUGCAAGCGUUAAUCGGAAUUACUGGGCGUAAAGCGCACGCAGGCGGUCUGUCAAGUCAGAUGUGAAAUCCCCGGGCUUAACCUGGGAACUGCAUUUGAAACUGGCAGGCUAGAGUCUUGUAGAGGGGGGUAGAAUUCCAGGUGUAGCGGUGAAAUGCGUAGAGAUCUGGAGGAAUACCGGUGGCGAAGGCGGCCCCCUGGACAAAGACUGACGCUCAGGUGCGAAAGCGUGGGGAGCAAACAGGAUUAGU
RNAcentral lists this ribosomal RNA (747 nucleotides) under Erwinia endophytica. RNAcentral's name for it is "bacterial SSU rRNA". It matches the Rfam family "Bacterial small subunit ribosomal RNA", at positions 45 to 782 of the family's 1533-position model. The record is from RNAcentral. Lineage: Bacteria; Pseudomonadati; Pseudomonadota; Gammaproteobacteria; Enterobacterales; Erwiniaceae.